UACGGGGGGGGCAAGCGUUGUUCGGAAUUACUGGGCGUAAAGGGCUCGUAGGUGGCCAACUAAGUCAGACGUGAAAUCCCUCAGCUUAACUGGGGAACUGCGUCUGAUACUGGAUGGCUUGAGUUUGGGAGAGGGAUGCGGAAUUCCAGGUGUAGCGGUGAAAUGCGUAGAUAUCUGGAGGAACGCCGGUGGCGAAGGCGGCAUCCUGGACCGGUAUUGACACUGAGGCGCGAAAGCCAGGGGAGCAAACGGG
Molecule: ribosomal RNA, 253 nt
Filed under: uncultured bacterium
Lineage: Bacteria
Description: partial 16S ribosomal RNA
Rfam family: Bacterial small subunit ribosomal RNA
Source: RNAcentral